AAAAACAGGAGAGCCGCAGAAUAGCAUGCUGCGAUUUGAUAGAAACCUGUCUACAGGAGGAUCCAGAGAAACGUAUUGAUUCUUUACCACAAAUGGUUUCAGGACGACAGCCUUCAAACUCCCGUCUACUCCGGGAGCAUUAAUGUCAUUCAGGAUCCAGAAGAUUCUGGGUCUGAAUUUAAUGAUGACGGAGAGGAUGAUCAGGAGCCAAAUGUGAGAAUUGAAGAAUUCAAUGGCCGACAGUAUGAGAUCAGCAGAAAGCUGGGUGAAGGCGAUUUUGGAGUCGUCAAUGAAGGGACCCGUCUGCAGGAUGGCUUAAUGAUUUGAUUUUUACUCUUUUUCUUUUUCUUUCUUCUCCUCGUCUUUUUGAUAUCUCAUCCUAUUCUUUUCAAACCUUAAUGUAUCCUAUGUCCUCUUUAAUGUUGUAUAUGUAUUAUAGUUCUGUUCUGUUCAGGAUAAAUGCUUACAUAAAUCCAUUUUUCUUUUGUUGAUCAGGUGGCAGUAAAACUUAUUAAGAAGACCGAGGAAAUAAUCGAGGAUUACAUCAACAUUCCAGGUCAUCCAGAGCCCUCCCAUGUGAGGUUGGUAUUCACAUGCUUGCCUGUAAGGGAGAAAAUGUUCCUGCGAUCGUCCAGUUUCUGGACUGGCAGGAUCAUUCGGACCACUUUACAUGGUCCUGGAGCACCCUUCUCCCUGCGCGAAUGUGUUGAGUUUCUGGGAAAGCGAAAGAGAGAUCGUCAACUAGUUCUGAAUGAUAGAAAACAGAACACGUUGUUUGAUAAAAUAAUUGAAUAAGACGAUGAAUGAGAGCAGGUGUGAAGUUUAAAGUGACAUUCAGAUAAACUCACAGUUUAAGGUGAUAAUCGCCUCUUCCUUCUUUUUGAACAGAAUUAGAGCUGUUCGAUUCUGAUUUUUUUUACGUCGAUUCCGAUUCCAAUUCCUGUUUUGGGAAUCGAAAGUAUCGAUUUCAAGAAUCGAUUCCUAGCUGUUGUUUUCAAUUCCUGCUCAAUUGCCUGUUUUAGUACAGAUUUUUAUUUAUUAUAAUUUUUUAAACACAUUUUUAAUGUAAUAUAAUUUUCUAAGCUGUCACUUUUUACAUUUAUUAAUAGUUUAUUGUUUCUAUAACAAAAUUCUUAACCAAAUAUGUUGAUCUUGUCCUGCAAUUCCAAUGUGUCAUUGUAAAUAUCAUUAAUAAUCUAAUUUACUAGCUGUUUAAAAAAUUUAUUUAGUAGUGUACACAAAAAUACUUGAGGAAUAUAGAUACUGUAGACAGAUUGAUAAUCAGUAAAUUGUAUCAAAAAUACUUACAGUAAGAAUACUGUGCAUAUUCUGUAAGUGUAAAUGACAGACAGAGAUAAGGUAGGCUACUAACUCUAUUUCUCUUUACUGACUAAUAGACUCACACACUUUUUUUGCUAUUGCUCUUUCUAAUCUUCUCAUUUAAUGUGUUGAAAAUGUUUUG
This is a long non-coding RNA of Triplophysa rosa, 1462 nucleotides long. RefSeq lists it as uncharacterized. The transcript is spliced from 4 exons. The record is from RefSeq and is a predicted model, not a curated record. Lineage: Eukaryota; Metazoa; Chordata; Actinopteri; Cypriniformes; Nemacheilidae.